This 492-nucleotide ribosomal RNA is filed under the name uncultured bacterium. RNAcentral's name for it is "partial 16S ribosomal RNA". It matches the Rfam family "Bacterial small subunit ribosomal RNA", at positions 29 to 507 of the family's 1533-position model. The record is from RNAcentral.
AGUGAACGCUGGCGGUAGGCCUAACACAUGCAAGUCGAACGGCAGCACAGUAAGAGCUUGCUCUUACGGGUGGCGAGUGGCGGACGGGUGAGGAAUACAUCGGAAUCUACUUUUUCGUGGGGGCUAACGUAGGGAAACUUACGCUAAUACCGCAUACGACCUACGGGUGAAAGCAGGGGAUCUUCGGACCUUGCGCGAUUGAAUGAGCCGAUGCCGGAUUAGCUAGUUGGCGGGGUAAAGGCCCACCAAGGCGACGAUCCGUAGCUGGUCUGAGAGGAUGAUCAGCCACACUGGAACUGAGACACGGUCCAGACUCCUACGGGAGGCAGCAGUGGGGAAUAUUGGACAAUGGGCGCAAGCCUGAUCCAGCCAUACCGCGUGGGUGAAGAAGGCCUUCGGGUUGUAAAGCCCUUUUGUUGGGAAAGAAAAGCAGCAGGUUAAUACCCCGCUGUUCUGACGGUACCCAAAGAAUAAGCACCGGCUAACUUCGUG